RNAcentral lists this non-coding RNA (25 nucleotides) under Rattus norvegicus (Norway rat). Lineage: Eukaryota; Metazoa; Chordata; Mammalia; Rodentia; Muridae. The record is from RNAcentral.
UAGUGAAGGAUCAAGCUUUGGAGAG